AACGAACGCUGGCGGCAGGCUUAACACAUGCAAGUCGAACGCCCCGCAAGGGGAGUGGCAGACGGGUGAGUAACACGUGGGAACGUACCCUUUACUACGGAAUAACGCAGGGAAACUUGUGCUAAUACCGUAUGUGCCCUUCGGGGGAAAGAUUUAUCGGUAAAGGAUCGGCCCGCGUUGGAUUAGCUAGUUGGUGGGGUAAAGGCCUACCAAGGCGACGAUCCAUAGCUGGUCUGAGAGGAUGAUCAGCCACAUUGGGACUGAGACACGGCCCAAACUCCUACGGGAGGCAGCAGUGGGGAAUAUUGGACAAUGGGCGCAAGCCUGAUCCAGCCAUGCCGCGUGAGUGAUGAAGGCCUUAGGGUUGUAAAAUACUUUCACCGGGGAAGAUAAUGACGGUACCCGGAGAAGAAGCCCCGGCUAACUUCGUGCCAGCAGCCGCGGUAAU
RNAcentral lists this ribosomal RNA (448 nucleotides) under uncultured bacterium. RNAcentral's name for it is "bacterial SSU rRNA". It matches the Rfam family "Bacterial small subunit ribosomal RNA", at positions 29 to 524 of the family's 1533-position model. The record is from RNAcentral.